This 8215-nucleotide long non-coding RNA is filed under the name Medicago truncatula (barrel medic). RNAcentral describes it as "long non-coding RNA (MTRU_LNC004197)". The record is from RNAcentral. Lineage: Eukaryota; Viridiplantae; Streptophyta; Magnoliopsida; Fabales; Fabaceae.
AAUAAGUAGCAACUGUAAAAUAGCAAAAGAACAAUACAAGCAUUGAUCAAAGUCAUUGACCAAAUUAACUUCCUCGCUCAAAUGUAGUUGCAAGAGCUUCUUCUAAGAACCACAGCAAGACGAUGUUUGUGAUGCUUGAGCAGAGCCAGCUCCCUGGUCUGGUUGGUUAAUCUUGAGUGUCUGGGGCUGCAAUGAACCAAAUAAAAAUUUAGCGCAAAGAUGAUGAGGUAAUUAAAUCUGGUAUAGAUUUUCUUAUUCAACCAAAAAUGCAACAUAAUAGUUGUCUAAAAAGGAAAACUAGCAAUAUCAAGGAAGAGUCGUGCAUUAACUUCAAAUAAAUCAAAAAAUGAAGCAAUUAUAAACUGUUGCAACUUCCAAGAUAAUGAAUCCAUCGUAACAAAAGAAAGGUCGAAAUAAAAACCUCAGUCUUUGAGUCACUUUCUGCGAGUCUUUGUUUGAUGUCCCGAGCUAUUGAAAAGAAAACCUCAUCUACAUUCAUAUUAGUUUUUGCACUCUGCAUAAACAUAAUCUCGGCAUUAGAAACAGCACAGUGGUUUCGGAAUGCUUUUCCAGCAAGAGCAAUAAGUGCUGCUUACAGUUUCGAAAAAUUUGAUGCCGUAUUCAUCUGCCAGAGCUUGACCCUUUGAAGUUGGAACAGCCUAAGGAGAAUAAUUUCCAGUAUCAAGUGUAGCAUAGUAAUCACAGGAGAUACUUGUACAUGGAAAAUGAAAAGGAUGGACAAAGAGUGAGUGUGUGAGGCAAACCCUUUUGCUUUCAUCCAUGUCGGCCUUGUUCCCUACUAAUAUUUUGUUGACAUUGUCAGAAGCAUGCUGCUCGAUGUUGCGAAUCCAGUUCUUGAUGUCUGGAUAUGAGAUGAAACAAAUAUAGAAGUCAGUUCCAUCUUAAUACAAAUUUAGGCACUGGGAUCUCCCCAAAGUACAAAGUUGAAAAGUAGAGUUUGCCGACAUAAACACUUGUUCCAAUGAUGAGUGUGGAUUUAAAGAAACAAGCAUAUUAAAAGAUUAAGAAUGUGGAGGAAAAAAUAAAGGAGGAAUGGCGCAAAACUAAAACCAGAAGGAGGAAGGAGAACUUACUGUUAAAAGAUGACUCAUCGGUGACAUCAUACACAAGCAAGAUACCCAUUGCUCCACGGUAAUAAGCUGCCCAAUAAAAAGAUUGAACACAUCAUCAGAGUAGAAAUAGUGUGCUUGAAAUAGUGACGGUUGUCAAUCGAUAUCAAAUAUGUACUGAUAUCGACAAACACAGCAACAUCUUACAAUACAUAAUCACAUUAGUAUAUAGAGUAGAACCUAUAAAGCUACGAUACUCUAAAAUUGCUAAAGUAUAGGUGUCAUAGCCUUAUUCCCGUAUGCAUAUAAUACUCCUAGAUCAGUAUCCAAAAAGUACUCUCCACCUUUUUACAAUUUUAAACGAUAAUAUUUGACAGAUAAAUUAGGGAUGCCUCUUCAACACUUUGGGAUACAGCUCCAAUAACUUGAGCCUUGUUCUCCCUCAAAUUGUGAGCAUAAUUGGAGUACAUACUUCUUUAUUCAUGUUUUGAUGAUAUGGAAAGAGAGAGAGGGAUACUUGUGGGAUACUAGUAGUGAUGUCCGUGAUUCAAUUGAUGAUGAAGGUUACCAACUUCUUCAAUUGGCAAAUUAAAUUUAGAAGCUAUGCUGUUUUGGAUGAUGAUAAUGGGAAGAUGAAGAUCCCUUGGACACAUGUCAGACACCUUUUAAUAUUGUCCAAUUAAAUAAAUAAAACUGGUUCAGACACCUAUUAGACAAGCCUUGAACACGCGAGCAAAGACUGUGCCGACGCAUGCUCUUGGCCAGACACUUGUCUCAGACAACUUCUAAUUCUAGAUUAGAUCUUUUCCUUUUUAUGAGAACUAAAACAAUGAUGUCUUAUCAUUUUUUGUGAGGAUCAUUAUCAUAGCAUUAACUUGUUAUAAUAGUCAUGAUUUAUAUUCUUAUAUUAUGUCAUAUAGAUAAGGACUGCAUUAUAAAUGAUUCCUCUUAGUCUUAUUUAUUAGGAAUAUACUUUAUGCUGUUAUAAUUGUAUCAGAGGAUCAGUACUCGGUAUUUUAUGUAGAACAGCAUAUUUCACCAUGUUUGUUCCUCAACGAACGCCUUUAACUUGUUGCUUUCAUUGAAGAUAGUUUUUAUCAUCAAGUUUAACAUAGAUCUUUUGCUUGAAUGUUGUUGGUGCUGCUGCCGCAGUAACUCGAACAGUGACAUGAGAAGAGGUAGGAGGAGUGGCCAAUAGCCAUGGCUAAAGAUUGAAAAGAAGCUCUAAGAUACCGUGUUAGAAGUUGAGGAUUCAGAGAAAUGAGAGAAAGAUAGGGAAAGUUCUAGAUAGUUUUGAAAUGAGAUACGAUCAAAUAUUUAGAGUAGCUAGAUCCUAACUAACUCUAACACAAGUGUCAGUUAUCCUAGGUUAGGACAGCUGUCCUAACAAAAUUCUGGAGGAAGAGAAGAGGAUUGAUCCUCUGAUGCAAUUAUAACAGCACAAGGUAUAUUCCUAAUACAGUAUUAGUAUUCUUCAUUGUGAGUCAUAUCAUUAACAUGAAUUUAUUUUUAGAAGGUUAAUAUAUGACUCUAAAUUCUUAAUUUAGACUUUUGCUGAGUCAAUUAUAUACACACGCAUACACAUAAAUAAAAAUAUACACAAGUAUGAGGUGUCCCGGUGUCCUAUAUUUUGGACACUACUCGUGUCUCAAUGUGUGUGAUGUCCGUAUGUCAGAGUCUAUGCUUCAUAGGUCUAGACUUAGUUUGUAUAGGAGCAGUGGUACUUUGUGACAUUUUGACAGUGGUUAGGGAAAAAGAAUACAUUUAUGACACAUCACAAGGAAAAUAAUAAAUAUUUGAUAUGGGUAAGAGGAAAAAUAUGCCUCUAUGUUUUUUUGUAAUGAUUAGAAGUGUUUUUUGUAAGGAGUAGAGUGAUAAGGAGAUGGAGAAUUUGAUCCCCACUCCCAACAAAAAACUACUAAUACUAACAUUGGUUGUUUCAAAAAAACAAGUAUUUUUGAGAGUUGUGAACUUGUGAUCAUCAUAUGCAAAUAAACAUAGUUAUAUAUUGAUAAAAAAUAAAAUAAUAAAACAUCAAUGUUUCUUUACAAAUAUUAUUUUAUUUCUGUAAAAUAAUAAUAAAGUAAGUAAAUUUUUCAUAAAUUUGUGUAAAUGAAUUUAGGCCAUCUAAUAUCUUCAGUUUUCAUGAAUUUCCAUAUGUGUCAUAUUGUUGUGCUCAUGUUGUAUCAAGUAUCCGAGCUUCAUAUAGUAGAAUUAAACCUCAAUCACGUGUAAGGUGAUAAUUAGUGGGUACAACACCGCAUAUCCAACCACUUCACAGGUCUGAUAAUAUUCAGAAUUUUUAGAUAAAGUCUAUACCAAUCUAAUGAAGAGAUCCAGCCCAUAGAAUCUAGUAAAAAAAGCAUAUCGUCUCAAACAGUCAGCAAUCUUAGAAGAUCUAUUAAUAGGCCGACAAUCAUAUCAGGUACCUUAUACAUUGAUCUGGCAAAUGGAAGUUUAAAUCUUAUUCAAAACAGGAUGGUUUUCAAUAAAAAAACGGUUUAGCAAGUUAGAAAAGAAAGGGAAAUCUAUUUGCCUCAAUCAAAAAAUAAUAUCAAAAUAUACUAUUUAAUAAUUAUAGUGGUUCCUAUCCAAUGUGCAAGAGUAGAAGGAGCAAUAAAUAAGUAGCAACUGAUUAAUAUCAUAACAAGCACAUGUUGCACAAGAAGUGUACAUAAGUUGAAUAUAAAGAACCAAAAUUAAGCUCUCACUUAUUAUUCUAGUUAUAUUGGGAGGGAAAGAGAACAAAACAGAUAAAGCCAAUAACUGAAACUAACCAGUUGUAAUGGUUCGAAAACGCUCUUGACCAGCCGUGUCCCAUAUUUGCAAUUUGAUUCGCUUACCAUCAAGCUCUAUGGUCCUUAUUUUGAAAUCAAUGCUAAAGAAAAAUAACACAUUCUAGUAAGUACAGGACCAUCUCCUCAAGAAAGACAAAAGAAUAACAACGAAAAACAGAAAAUAAGCAAGUUCACAAAAAGAGGACCUACCCGAUGGUUGUGAUAAAACUAGUUGUGAAUGAACCAUCUGAGAAACGCAAUAGAAGGCAACUUUUACCCACACCUGCCAAUGUGAAAAAAGAAUGUAAUGUAAUACAAACAAAACCCAAUAAGAUAAGAUACAUUCCAUACACUAAUAAUAAUAAAGAGGAGAAAGAGAGGAGAUAAUAAGGCAUGUUUGGAUUGGCUUAUUUGCUGACAUACGCACUUAUGAUGAUUUUUGUGAGAGCUUGUGGAAACAGCUUUUAGCAUGCCCGUAAUUUGUUUUCAACUUAUUUCCAUAAGCUCCUCAGGAUAGCUAUAUGAAAACCUAGUACGGCUUAAAUGAAAACCGUUUUUUUUAAGCAACAAAUUUUAUUACGCACACCGUACCAUCACAAGCCAUGACGGCCAGGCGAAAAGAGCAAAUACAACUUAAACAAAGCCACAAUCCAGUACCCUAAACCGAUACUGGAACAACAAACAAAACAGAGAACCCGCAGGAGCACCUCCUGAACAACGCAACAAAUGGGGACAACAAACACACCCCUAACCCCUACAAAAAAGAGGAAAACACAUCAAAACAACUACCCAAGUAUUCGGUUACGCCAAACACACACCAAUCGACAGCCACGUGCACCGCCCAGUAACCCCAAAACAGUGCUGAAAAAGAACCCUGCACAGCAAUCCCAACUUCCUACCUACCAAAGCAAUCUCCCAUACACCAAUUCCAUUCAUAGAACAUACAUGGUGAUGCUUUCAAUCUACUCAAGCUCCGCUUCCAUAAGAGCACUUUGAUUUCCUCCACCAUUGCAUCAACCUCAAAAUCUUGAUUCUUGAAAAUCUUCCUAUUUUUCGCACUCCAAAUCACCCAAACAGUAGUGUGCGUGCCAAAUAUGCCAAAACCCUUUUUUCCACUUUUUAUAUUGAACACAUCCUAUCAAACAUUCAAUUUCAACAAAUGGUUUGGGGUGUAAUAAAUUCCACAUCUAUCUCAAAAUCUUAUCCCACACUUGAGCAACAACAUAAAAAUAAAGAAAAAGGUGGAUAGAAGAUUCCUCAUCAUUUCCACAAAAAGCACACUCUCUAGAGGCUUCUGGAGCGAUAGCAUGCCGUUUCCACAAAUUAUUCCGAGUUGGAAUUCUAUCUAGGAGCAUUUUCCAAGAGAAGGCCACUACUUUUGAAGAUGCCAGACUUUUCCAAAAACCCUUUUUUCCAAUUCACCUAGAUCAUUUUCCAACACAAAAAUCCCCUACAACAAGUCAUAAGUUGAUUUUACCAAGAACACACCUCCACCUUCCGGUCUCCAACCCCAACUAUCUCUCUCGGUAUUUAAUACCAAAACAUUCAAUUCAACAGCACCAAUAAUUGCUCAAGUAAACUCUCCUCCCAUAUAAACAACCUCCUCCUCCACAACCACAUCCAGUUCCACUCUUUCCCAUUUCUAACACAAACCUCGCUCAAUUUCACAUCCUUUUUAUCCGUAGUAGCAAACAGCCUCAGGAAAAGAUCACAAAACCCCUAUUACCCAACCACUUAUCCCUCCGAAAUAAGUCAACUCGCCGCUACCAACUUUCUUAAACACUUCCCUUUUGAACCAAUCUCCUCCACCCAAAUACUGAAUCCUCCAAGAAAGUUAAAUCUCUCCACCAUAUAGAAGCACUUCUCGGCCAAGUGCCAAUCAACUUUCCUCUCAAUAUCCUACCCACACAUUUUUGACAACAACUUCUUUCCACAAAGGACAAUCAUGUUGUAGUAUAUGCCAACGCCAUUUUGCCAAAAGACUCAAGUUGACGGCUCUCACAUCCCUCACCUUCAAACCACCUUAUUUUAUAUGAAAGCCAUUUAAUUUUAUUACAUAUUUUGUUAUAGAAAUAACUUAUACAAACAUAAGCAAGUGUAAUUAAGUUGUUUUUCCAAACAGGUCAAAAAGUCUACAUGACAAUCACAGUUGAUUAAUAACUGAUAUUCUUUACACAUGAUCAGUUGAGUUAAGCCUUAAUAAUUAGUUCUAACCGUUUUACUUUAUCAUUGACAAAAAUAAGUUACUACCUCCAUUUGUUAUGGUAAACUUGUAUGAUUACACUACUAAUAAUUGAAUUACCGCUAAAAAUAAUAAAACCUAAUGAGAUAUUAAGCAGAAUUAAAAUCUAAAAUCUAAAGUGCGAAAAGAGAAAGAAUAGAAAAAGUACGAACCGCUAUCACCGAUGAGGAGAAGCUUGAUUAGGUAAUCGUAAUCGGAUCGAGCUCUUGCAGGUGGAGCAGCCAUCGUGAUAAUUCAAAAACCUAAAACCUGAUAUGAUUGAUCCACGAUGGUUGCUGUAGUAGAAGGGGCUAAGAAAAUUAAGUUAAUUUGAUUUUAUUGGAAAGAAAAAGUGGAGAGUGAGGUGUGAUAAGUUAUAACGAAGUAAAGUGGGUGAAAAUGAAAAUGAAAAUGGAAGAGAACAAAGUCGAGAUCUGAAAAGGAAAAGGAAAUGGAGAUCGAUUGGAUGGAGAGUUUGUUGUUGGUCGAGCGUUGAAAUCUGUUUUUUUUUUUUUUUUUAAUUAAAAAAUGAAGAUUAUUUUUCAGUUUUUUAUCAAAAUAUAAUCUCAAUUUUUUUUCUUUUCUUUAGAUGAGGUGGAAAUCCACUAAAAUUAAAUUAAGAGUAAAUUACACUCUCCUCCCCUCUUAUGUUAAAAUAUACACUUCCCCUUCUUAUUCAAAACAUAUUAGAAAAUAUUUCACCCUCCUUCCUCGAGAGAAGCUUGAAUUACAUUCACCUCUCCUUUUAAGUUAAAUUGUACGAUGUAGUCCCUCAAUUUUUUUUUCUUCUAAUAAUCUACCACACUUCAAAGAAAAAUAGCAUGCGGGUUCAUUUUAAUAUAAUCAAAUUUUGAAUACAUAUUUUUCUCUAUUUUUAUUCACAAUUUCAUUAACAUAUAGUUUUAAACUCUAUUAAAAAAUAUGAAACAACCCAAAAUAAAAUUAAAAUAUGUGAAAAAGUACUAAAAUCGAUUAAGUAUGAUUAUUUAAAAGUGAGUUUUAUACUCUAAAUUAUAAAAUUAAUAACACAAAAUUUAAAUUUAAUUGUCAUUGACAUUUAGAUUAUAAAUAAACGAAUUUAUAUUUUUUAAAUGGUGAUUCAAAAUUAAUAUAUAUUAUAAAAAUAUUUAUUUAUGUUAAAAUAGAUUAAAGUGUAGUCAUAUGUUAAACAAACAAAAAAAUUGUAUUCAUAAAAAAUCAGUUUGGCACGUUUAACGAAAAUAGCUUAACGACAAACUAAUACAUCUAGUAAAUGAACAUUCAUCUUCAAUGAUCUGUUACUCUUUAGAUGGACCAUUUAACGACAAACUAAACUCAAAACAGCUCAUGAAUAGCAAACUAAACUCAAACAGCUCGUGAAUAGCAAACUAAAUUAAUAAAGUUUAAAAUAAUUUCAUUAAUUCAAUUCAUCAUACAGAUUUCGAGUGAAUAACAGCGUUUUGAAAAGUAUGAAGAAAUGACGUAUGGCAUAAUUAGCUUAGCCUAUAUUGAACAAAAUUAAAAAUAACUAUAAGAUGUCCAAGUAUUUGAUCAAUUUAAGCCGAGAAACAUCAAAUGUAUAAAGUAUUCUGAAAUACGAAGCUUAGCAAUAUAUUGGAGCACCAAGUAGGCGAAGGAUGUUGUUGGUUUUAGCAAACAUUGUGCAUAGUCAGUCUCCUGAAAAAAGAAAGGGAAAAUAAAACAGAUACUGAUACAGAUGCAGCAAUAAAUAGAUAUCUGAUUAAUUUCCAUACAUAGGAAGGAUCUAGUCUACCAUUAACAUCCAAUAAGUAGCAACUGUAAAAUAGCAAAAGAACAAUACAAGCACUGAUCGAAGUCAUUGACCAAAUUAACUUCCUCCGUCAAAUGUAGUUGCAAGAGCUUCUUCUAAGAACCACAGCAAGAUGAUGUUUGUGAUGCUUGAGCAGAGCCAGCUCCCUGGUCAGGUUGGUUAAUCUUGAGUGUCUGGGGCUGCAAUGAACCAAAUAAAAAUUUAGCGCAAAGAUGAUGAGGCAACCAAACAUGCAACAUAAUAGUAGUCUAAAAAAGAAAACCAGCAAUAUCAAGGAAGAGUCUAGCAUUAACUUCAAAUAUAUCAAAAAAUGAAGCAAUUAUAAACUGUUGCAACUUGCAAGAUAAUGAAUCCAUCAUAACAAAAGAAACGUUGA